Molecule: ribosomal RNA, 486 nt
Filed under: uncultured bacterium
Lineage: Bacteria
Description: partial 16S ribosomal RNA
Rfam family: Bacterial small subunit ribosomal RNA
Source: RNAcentral
AUUGAACGCUGGCGGCAUGCCUUACACAUGCAAGUCGAACGGCAGCACGGGGGGUAACCCCUGGUGGCGAGUGGCGAACGGGUGAGUAAUAUAUCGGAACGUGUCCUGUAGCGGGGGAUAACCUAUCGAAAGAUGGACUAAUACCGCAUACGACCUACGGGUGAAAGCGGAGGACCGCAAGGCUUCGCACUAUAGGAGCGGCCGAUAUCGGAUUAGCUAGUUGGCGGGGUAACGGCCCACCAAGGCGACGAUCCGUAGCUGGUCUGAGAGGACGAUCAGCCACACUGGAACUGAGACACGGUCCAGACUCCUACGGGAGGCAGCAGUGGGGAAUUUUGGACAAUGGGCGCAAGCCUGAUCCAGCCAUGCCGCGUGAGUGAAGAAGGCCUUCGGGUUGUAAAGCUCUUUCGUCGGGGACGAAACGGUUCGUGCUAAUACCACGGACUACUGACGGUACCCGCAGAAGAAGCACCGGCUAACUACGUG